RNAcentral lists this ribosomal RNA (364 nucleotides) under uncultured Didiniidae. RNAcentral's name for it is "partial small subunit ribosomal RNA". It matches the Rfam family "Eukaryotic small subunit ribosomal RNA", at positions 30 to 432 of the family's 1831-position model. The record is from RNAcentral. Lineage: Eukaryota; Ciliophora; Litostomatea; Haptorida; Didiniidae.
GCUUGUCUCAAAGAUUAAGCCAUGCAUGUCUUAGUGUAAAUAACUCUUAUGAAACUGCGAAUGGCUCAUUAAAUCAGUUAUCGUUUAUUUGAUGGUCCCUUACUACAUGGAUAACCGUAGUAAUUCUAGAGCUAAUACAUGCUAAGACCGUAAGGUUGUAUUUAUUAGAUAUACCGAGUAGGUGAAUCAUAAUAACUUCGCAAAUCGCAGUAAUACUGCGAUAAAUCAUUCAAGUUUCUGCCCUAUCAUGCUCUCGAUGGUAGUGUAUUGGACUACCAUGGCUCUCACGGGUAACGGGGAAUUAGGGUUCGAUUCCGGAGAAGGAGCCUGAGAAACGGCUACUACAUCUAAGGAAGGCAGCAGG